Molecule: ribosomal RNA, 667 nt
Filed under: Bacillus sp. 21BL
Lineage: Bacteria; Bacillati; Bacillota; Bacilli; Caryophanales; Bacillaceae
Description: bacterial SSU rRNA
Rfam family: Bacterial small subunit ribosomal RNA
Source: RNAcentral
CGGCGGACGGGUGAGUAACACGUGGGUAACCUGCCUGUAAGACUGGGAUAACUCCGGGAAACCGGGGCUAAUACCGGAUACUUGUUUGAACCGCAUGGUUCAAACAUAAAAGGUGGCUUCGGCUACCACUUACAGAUGGACCCGCGGCGCAUUAGCUAGUUGGUGAGGUAAUGGCUCACCAAGGCAACGAUGCGUAGCCGACCUGAGAGGGUGAUCGGCCACACUGGGACUGAGACACGGCCCAGACUCCUACGGGAGGCAGCAGUAGGGAAUCUUCCGCAAUGGACGAAAGUCUGACGGAGCAACGCCGCGUGAGUGAUGAAGGUUUUCGGAUCGUAAAGCUCUGUUGUUAGGGAAGAACAAGUGCCGUUCAAAUAGGGCGGCACCUUGACGGUACCUAACCAGAAAGCCACGGCUAACUACGUGCCAGCAGCCGCGGUAAUACGUAGGUGGCAAGCGUUGUCCGGAAUUAUUGGGCGUAAAGGGCUCGCAGGCGGUUUCUUAAGUCUGAUGUGAAAGCCCCCGGCUCAACCGGGGAGGGUCAUUGGAAACUGGGGAACUUGAGUGCAGAAGAGGAGAGUGGAAUUCCACGUGUAGCGGUGAAAUGCGUAGAGAUGUGGAGGAACACCAGUGGCGAAGGCGACUCUCUGGUCUGUAACUGACGCUG